Molecule: long non-coding RNA, 817 nt
Organism: Ictalurus punctatus (channel catfish)
Lineage: Eukaryota; Metazoa; Chordata; Actinopteri; Siluriformes; Ictaluridae
Source: Ensembl
GUUGGGAUCAGAGUGCAGGGUCAGCCAUGAGACAGCAGAGGGCCCAACAGUGGCAGCUUGGUGCUGGUGCUGGAACCCCCAACCUUCCAAUGAGUAACCCAGAGCCUUAACCAUCAAGCCACCACUGCCCCUGGUGGUGGCUUGACAAGACCUCUGAAGGUGUGCUCUGGUACCAAGACAUUAGCAGCAGAUCCUUCAAAUCCUGUAAGUUGUGAGGUGGGCCUCCAUGGAUCAGACUCGUUUGUCCAGCAGAUCCCACAGAUGCUCGAUGGGAUUGAGAUCUUGUUAAUUUGGAGGCCGAGUCAACACCUUGAACUCUUAUUCCUAAAACCAUUCCUGAACAAUUUUUACAGGGUGUCAGGGUGCAUUAUCCUGCUGAAAGAGGCCAAUGGCAUUAGGGAAGACUGUUGCCAUGAAAGGGUGUUCUUGGUCUGCAACAAUGUUUAGACUUGCCUUCUUCCCAUGGUGCAUCCUGGUGACAUCUCUUCCUCAGAAAGUUUUGGAUCCGGGUCUAAAUAGAGGGAAAGACUGAAACAGUGGGAGAGAGGUUAAUGAUCUCGUUUUGCUGCCUCCUGUCCAGUCUGUUCCAGCACACUGAAGCUCCCUGAAGACUCUCCCUCGCCCUCUCACUGCAAGCACAAUGACUCCAAUAACACAAUGCAUUUCACUAAUGAAAAUACUCUGCAUUUAUCAAGUGACUUCUUUAUUAGAGAUUACUGAGAUUAACUUUGCUGAAAGUAAGAGCAGGAAAUUUACUAAAGUGUGCUGCAUUGAGGACAUUUCAAACUACAGCUGGACGUCACAGUUAAAGUGUGCC